Molecule: ribosomal RNA, 484 nt
Filed under: uncultured bacterium
Lineage: Bacteria
Description: bacterial SSU rRNA
Rfam family: Bacterial small subunit ribosomal RNA
Source: RNAcentral
GACGAACGCUGGCGGCGUGCUUAACACAUGCAAGUCGAACGGUGACGAGGAGCUUGCUCCUCUGAUCAGUGGCGAACGGGUGAGUAAUACAUCGGAACGUGCCCGAUCGUGGGGGAUAACGGAGCGAAAGCUUUGCUAAUACCGCAUACGAUCUACGGAUGAAAGCAGGGGACCGCAAGGCCUUGCGCGGACGGAGCGGCCGAUGGCAGAUUAGGUAGUUGGUGGGAUAAAAGCUUACCAAGCCGACGAUCUGUAGCUGGUCUGAGAGGACGACCAGCCACACUGGGACUGAGACACGGCCCAGACUCCUACGGGAGGCAGCAGUGGGGAAUUUUGGACAAUGGGCGAAAGCCUGAUCCAGCCAUGCCGCGUGCAGGAUGAAGGCCUUCGGGUUGUAAACUGCUUUUGUACGGAACGAAAAGACUCCUUCUAAUAAAGGGAGUCCAUGACGGUACCGUAAGAAUAAGCACCGGCUAACUACGUG